ACGGGAGACUGGGAGCCGCCAGCCAGUAGUAGGUGUUGCCCCUAAGCGGGCCGCGAACGAGCAUUGCCCAUGUGCGACGAUCCUUCCCCUAAAAAUCAGUAUCAGAAAGAAUAACAUUAACAUUGUUGUGACGACAUAAUUGGGCAACAGAGAUCAAAUUUUUACGCAUGUGGAACACAGAGAGCCCCAGUUAAUAAAAGAGAGG
Molecule: long non-coding RNA, 205 nt
Filed under: Nicotiana benthamiana
Lineage: Eukaryota; Viridiplantae; Streptophyta; Magnoliopsida; Solanales; Solanaceae
Description: long non-coding RNA (NBEN_LNC001316)
Source: RNAcentral